GAGACCUCAGGUCAGGCGGGGCUACCCACUGAAUU
Molecule: ribosomal RNA, 35 nt
Filed under: Lathyrus pannonicus subsp. asphodeloides
Lineage: Eukaryota; Viridiplantae; Streptophyta; Magnoliopsida; Fabales; Fabaceae
Description: partial 25S ribosomal RNA
Source: RNAcentral